Molecule: small RNA, 535 nt
Filed under: Pan troglodytes (chimpanzee)
Lineage: Eukaryota; Metazoa; Chordata; Mammalia; Primates; Hominidae
Description: retained intron
Source: RNAcentral
UUAGAUCCUUUUCCUGACCAUGUUGUUUUUAAGGAUUUGCGUAUUACUCAGCAAAAAAUCAAAUACAGUAGAGGACCCUUUUCACUCUUGGAGGAAAUUAACCAUUUUCUCUCAGUAAGUGUUUAUGAUGCACUUCCAUUGACAAGACUUGAAGGACUAAAGGAUCUUCGAAGACAACUGGAACUACAUAAAGAUCAGAUGGUGGACAUUAUGAGAGCUUCUCAGGGUGCUAAUUUUAAUGACAUGGGUUAUUUCUACCUGUUUCUUUUUGAAAGAAUAUUUUGCAAAGUCUUGCUCUUGGUUUCAUUGUCACAGACUUAGUUCAGACUCUCAUCAUUUAGUUCAGACCCUCAUUUCUCAUCUAACUGUAAAACUGCUCCUAACUGGUCUUCUCACCCUGAACUCUUCCUAUUUUAUUCAUCCUCUGCCAGAUGAUUUCUCUAAACCCAAAUAUGAUCAUGUUUUUCUACUGCCUAAAUUUUUUUUUUUAAGAGACAGAGUUUUUUUUUUUUUAAGAGUCUCACUCUGUCACCCA